This 497-nucleotide ribosomal RNA is filed under the name uncultured bacterium. Its description in RNAcentral is "partial 16S ribosomal RNA". It matches the Rfam family "Bacterial small subunit ribosomal RNA", at positions 28 to 507 of the family's 1533-position model. The record is from RNAcentral.
GACGAACGCUGGCGGCGUGCCUAAUACAUGCAAGUUGAGCGCUGAAGGUUGGUACUUGUACCAACUGGAUGAGCAGCGAACGGGUGAGUAACGCGUGGGGAAUCUGCCUUUGAGCGGGGGACAACAUUUGGAAACGAAAGCUAAUACCGCAUAAAAACUUUAAACACAAGUUUUAAGUUUGAAAGAUGCAAUUGCAUCACUCAAAGAUGAUCCCGCGUUGUAUUAGCUAGUUGGUGAGGUAAAGGCUCACCAAGGCGAUGAUACAUAGCCGACCUGAGAGGGUGAUCGGCCACAUUGGGACUGAGACACGGCCCAAACUCCUACGGGAGGCAGCAGUAGGGAAUCUUCGGCAAUGGACGAAAGUCUGACCGAGCAACGCCGCGUGAGUGAAGAAGGUUUUCGGAUCGUAAAACUCUGUUGGUAGAGAAGACCGUUGGUGAGAGUGGAAAGCUCAUCAAGUGACGGUAACUACCCAGAAAGGGACGGCUAACUACGUG